UUUGAAGAUUUUCUGUCAUCAAUCGAUUGCAUGACAGUUGUCUUCAUUUGAAAAAGAUAUAUGAAUGGAUAUAUGAAUAAUUUCAAAUUCCCUGCAACAUAUCAUUAUUUUGCAUAUCAUACCAUGCAAUGCCAUGCCAUACAAUACAAUACAAUACCAUGCCAUGCCAUACCACACCAUACCAUACCAUGCCAUACCAUGCCAUGCCAUGCCAUGCCAUGCCAUGCCAUACCAUACCAUACCAUAUCAUGCCAUACCAUACCAUACCAUACCAUACCAUACCAUACCAUACCAUACCAUACCAUACCAUACCAUGACAUGCCAUACCAUGCCAUGCCAUACCAUGCCAUACGUAUUCAUAACUGUCAUAACAUAAUGACCAUACCACGCA
Non-coding RNA from Paramuricea clavata, 391 nucleotides. Lineage: Eukaryota; Metazoa; Cnidaria; Anthozoa; Malacalcyonacea; Plexauridae. The record is from the annotation of a GenBank genome assembly.